RNAcentral lists this ribosomal RNA (253 nucleotides) under uncultured bacterium. RNAcentral describes it as "partial 16S ribosomal RNA". It matches the Rfam family "Bacterial small subunit ribosomal RNA", at positions 524 to 776 of the family's 1533-position model. The record is from RNAcentral.
UACGUAGGGACCAAGCGUUGUUCGGAUUUACUGGGCGUAAAGGGCGCGUAGGCGGCAAUUCAAGUCAUCUGUGAAAUCUCCGGGCCUAACUCGGAACGGUCAGAUGAUACUGCUUUGCUAGAGUGCAGAAGGGGCAAUCGGAAUUCUUGGUGUAGCGGUGAAAUGCGUAGAUAUCAAGAGGAACACCUGAGGUGAAGACGGGUUGCUGGGCUGACACUGACGCUGAGGCGCGAAAGCCAGGGGAGCAAACGGG